AUGGCUGCCAGACAAGGCCAACCAUCGCAGGGGACACGUCGAGCAGGGCUAGUGGCGCCGUCGCGGAGACCAGCCACCUGCACCUUGCCGCCGCCGACCAUGGCCGCUGCCGCGCCGGCCCGCAGCCUCCGCCGCCCGGAUCCGCCGGGGCACAACAAAGCAGCCGCAGCCGCGCCCCCAAAGGGUCGCACUGCGCCGCCCGCGUGCUCGCCACGCCAGUCCAGAGGCCCGACCAUCUGGAUCUGGGGCCGCCGUUGA
Molecule: ribosomal RNA, 258 nt
Filed under: Triticum aestivum (bread wheat)
Lineage: Eukaryota; Viridiplantae; Streptophyta; Magnoliopsida; Poales; Poaceae
Description: partial small subunit ribosomal RNA
Source: RNAcentral